CGGGACUUGAAUUUGCCCCCCAUUAGCUGCGUUCCCAAUUUUUAGACUCGAUGCCUCCUCUAGUGUUAUUUAUAAUCUCUAUGGAUGUGUGAAUGUGGGGAAUCUGGGAAUGUGUAUUAUGUGCAUGCAUGGAGUUUUGUAGUGAAAGAAAAAAGAGUUCGAGUGAAACUCCAAUAUAAAUUUAUCUUUCUGUUAAACGUGCACAUAAAUUGACCAAUCUUACAGUAUAUAUGAAAGUGGUAUAUACGAUUUCAAGAUGUCAGACGAGAUAGCUCUAACCACGGACGGCUGUUCAGAAAGUCCAUGUGUUUUGUGUUGGGAGACUGCAAGUUGGACGCAAUUAAAGGCAUAUAAACAAGGUGUAUGCCCAAGAAAAUGUUUAGCAUUGUUGUCACAAAGUUAUAUUUUAGCAGCACAGAACAGCAAGCCUUUUCUGCAAGUAUGGGAUAUCAGUAAGGUACGAAUCACAGGUUGAAAAAAUAUUUUGUUUUGGUGAUGUGCUGUACAUCAAUCCAUUCAAAAGAUUCACAACCAAUCCCAUGGGAUUCAAAGG
Paramuricea clavata is the source of this 553-nucleotide non-coding RNA. The record is from the annotation of a GenBank genome assembly. Lineage: Eukaryota; Metazoa; Cnidaria; Anthozoa; Malacalcyonacea; Plexauridae.